RNAcentral lists this ribosomal RNA (848 nucleotides) under Ascosphaera atra. Its description in RNAcentral is "LSU rRNA". It matches the Rfam family "Eukaryotic large subunit ribosomal RNA", at positions 80 to 945 of the family's 3401-position model. The record is from RNAcentral. Lineage: Eukaryota; Fungi; Ascomycota; Eurotiomycetes; Onygenales; Ascosphaeraceae.
UCAGUAACGGCGAGUGAAGCGGCAAAGCUCAAAUUUGAAAUCUGGCUCCUUCGGGGUCCGAGUUGUAAUUUGGAGAGGAUGCUCUGGGGGUGGUCGCGGUCUAAGUCCCCUGGAACGGGGCGUCGCAGAGGGUGAGAAUCCCGUCUUCGGCCGGCCGACCAUGCCCGUGUAGAGCUCCUUCGACGAGUCGAGUUGUUUGGGAAUGCAGCUCUAAAUGGGUGGUAAAUUUCAUCUAAAGCUAAAUACUGGUCGGAGACCGAUAGCGCACAAGUAGAGUGAUCGAAAGAUGAAAAGCACUUUGAAAAGAGAGUUAAACAGCAUGUGAAAUUGUUGAAAGGGAAGCACAAGCGACCAGAGUCGGCCGCGGGGGUUCAGCAGGGGUCCUCCCCUGUGUAUUCCCCCGUGGUCGGGCCAGCAUCAGUUCUGGCGGCCGGUCAAAGGCUCCGGGAAUGUGUCGCCCUUCGGGACGACUUAUAGCCCGGGGUGCAAUGCGGCCAGCCGGGACUGAGGAACGCGCUUCGGCACGGAUGCUGGCUUAAUGGCCGUUUGUGGCCCGUCUUGAAACACGGACCAAGGAGUCUAACAUCCACGCGAGUGUUCGGGUGUCAAACCCGUCCGCGCAGUGAAAGCGAACGGAGGUGAGAGCCCCUCGAGGGUGCAUCAUCGACCGAUCCUGAAGUCUUCGGAUGGAUUUGAGUAUGAGCGUGGCUGUUGGGACCCGAAAGAUGGUGAACUAUGCCUGAAUAGGGUGAAGCCAGAGGAAACUCUGGUGGAGGCUCGCAGCGGUUCUGACGUGCAAAUCGAUCGUCAAAUUUGGGUAUAGGGGCGAAAGACUAAUCGAACCAUCU